This 28-nucleotide non-coding RNA is filed under the name Rattus norvegicus (Norway rat). The record is from RNAcentral. Lineage: Eukaryota; Metazoa; Chordata; Mammalia; Rodentia; Muridae.
UAGACAGAGUGGACCUUGAACUGGUUUU